ACGGGUGAGUAAUGCUUGGGAAUCUAGCUUAUGGAGGGGGAUAACUAUGGGAAACUGUAGCUAAUACCGCGUAGAAUCGGGAGAUGAAAGUGUGGGACCUUCGGGCCACAUGCCAUAGGAUGAGCCCAAGUGGGAUUAGGUAGUUGGUGAGGUAAAGGCUCACCAAGCCGACGAUCUCUAGCUGGUCUGAGAGGAUGACCAGCCACACUGGGACUGAGACACGGCCCAGACUCCUACGGGAGGCAGCAGUGGGGAAUAUUGCGCAAUGGGGGCAACCCUGACGCAGCCAUGCCGCGUGAAUGAAGAAGGCCUUCGGGUUGUAAAGUUCUUUCGGUAGCGAGGAAGGCAUUUAGUUUAAUAGACUAGAUGAUUGACGUUAACUACAGAAGAAGCACCGGCUAACUCCGUGCCAGCAGCCGCGGUAAUACGGAGGGUGCGAGCGUUAAUCGGAAUAACUGGGCGUAAAGGGCACGCAGACGGUUACUUAAGCAGGAUGUGAAAUCCCCGGGCUCAACCUGGGAACUGCGUUCUGAACUGGGUGACUAGAGUGUGUCAGAGGGAGGUAGAAUUCCACGUGUAGCAGUGAAAUGCGUAGAGAUGUGGAGGAAUACCGAUGGCGAAGGCAGCCUCCUGGGAUAACACUGACGUUCAUGCUCGAAAGCGUGGGUAGCAAACAGGAUUAGAUACCCU
Molecule: ribosomal RNA, 690 nt
Filed under: uncultured bacterium
Lineage: Bacteria
Description: bacterial SSU rRNA
Rfam family: Bacterial small subunit ribosomal RNA
Source: RNAcentral